RNAcentral lists this ribosomal RNA (623 nucleotides) under uncultured bacterium. RNAcentral's name for it is "bacterial SSU rRNA". It matches the Rfam family "Bacterial small subunit ribosomal RNA", at positions 338 to 954 of the family's 1533-position model. The record is from RNAcentral.
CCUACGGGAGGCAGCAGUGGGGAAUCUUGCGCAAUGCACGAAAGUGUGACGCAGCAACGCCGCGUGCGGGAAGACGGCCUUCGGGUUGUAAACCGCUUUCAGUUGGGACGAAGGUUCUGCGGUUAAUACCCGUAUGGACUGACUGUACCUUCAGAAGAAGCCCCGGCUAACUACGUGCCAGCAGCCGCGGUGAUACGUAGGGGGCAAGCGUUGUCCGGAAUCAUUGGGCGUAAAGCGCGUGUAGGCGGCUGAGCAAGUCCGCUCUGAAAGCCCGAGGCUCAACCUCGGGAGGCGAGUGGAUACUGCUCAGCUCGAGUCCGGAAGAGGAGUGUGGAAUUCCUGGUGUAGCGGUGAAAUGCGCAGAUAUCAGGAGGAACACCAAUUGCGAAGGCAGCACUCUGGGACGUGACUGACGCUGAGACGCGAAAGCGUGGGGAGCAAACAGGAUUAGAUACCCUGGUAGUCCACGCCGUAAACGAUGGGCACUAGGUGUGGGAGGUGUCGACUCCUCCCGUGCCGGAGCUAACGCAUUAAGUGCCCCGCCUGGGGAGUACGGCCCGCAAGGCUAAAACUCAAAUGAAUUGACGGGCNGAGAGNGCGACGGACGACGACGAGGGAGGAGG